UGCACUAGCCCGUUUAGUUUUCUUUUCUUCAUGACCACACUUGUGUAAAUAGCUCCUGAAUGAAAUCUUCCUUGGAUUAUCAAAUGUGAGUCUGCCAUUGAUUCCCAUUGAGACCCUCCUUGAUACAGGAGCUCUCAAGAAUUUAGGCCAAUUUAUCCUUCUACAGCAUUGGGUUCUGAUCUUCACGUUGAAGUGAAGGGUUAUGAGAAUGGAGGGAUCCAUCUGGAGUGCAGGUCCACUGGCUGGUACCCCCAACCCCAAAUAAAGUGGAGUGAUGCCAAGGGAGAGAACAUCCCGGCUGUGGAAGCACCUGUGGUUGCAGACGGAGUGGGCCUGUAUGCAGUAGCAGCAUCUGUGAUCAUGAGAGGCGGCUCUGGUGGGGGUGUAUCCUGCAUCAUCAGAAAUUCCCUCCUAGGCCUGGAAAAGACAGCCAGCAUUUCCAUCGCAGACCCCUUCUUCACGAGCGCCCAGCCCUGGAUCGCGGCCCUGGCAGGAACCCUGCCUAUCUCGUUGCUGCUCCUCGCAGGAGCCAGUUACUUCUUGUGGAGACAACAGAAGGAAAAAAUUGCUCUGUCCAGGGAGACAGAAAGAGAGCGAGAGCUGAAAGAAAUGGGAUAUGCUGCAACAAAGCAGGAAAUAAGCCUAAGAGAGAAGCUCCAGGAGGAACUCAAGUGGAGAAAAAUCCGGUACAUGGCUCGCGGAGAGAAGUCUUUGGCCUAUCAUGAAUGGAAAAUGGCCCUCUUCAAGCCUGCAGAUGUGAUUCUGGAUCCAGACACGGCAAACGCCAUCCUCCUUGUUUCUGAGGACCAGAGAAGUGUGCAGCGUGCUGAAGAGCCACGGGAUCUGCCAGACAACCCUGAGAGAUUUGAAUGGCGUUACUGUGUCCUUGGCUGUGAAAACUUCACAUCAGGGAGACAUUACUGGGAGGUGGAAGUGGGGGACAGAAAAGAGUGGCAUAUUGGGGUAUGUAGUAAGAACGUGGAGAGGAAAAAAGGUUGGGUCAAAAUGACACCGGAGAAUGGAUACUGGACUAUGGGCCUGACUGAUGGGAAUAAGUAUCGGGCUCUCACUGAGCCCAGAACCAACCUGAAACUUCCUGAGCCCCCUAGGAAAGUGGGGAUCUUCCUGGACUAUGAGACUGGAGAGAUCUCGUUCUACAAUGCCAUGGAUGGAUCUCAUAUCUACACCUUUCCGCACACCUCUUUCUCUGAGCCUGUAUAUCCUGUUUUCAGAAUUUU
RNAcentral lists this small RNA (1238 nucleotides) under Pongo abelii (Sumatran orangutan). RNAcentral describes it as "retained intron". Lineage: Eukaryota; Metazoa; Chordata; Mammalia; Primates; Hominidae. The record is from RNAcentral.